Long non-coding RNA from Corvus hawaiiensis (hawaiian crow), 919 nucleotides. RefSeq lists it as uncharacterized. The transcript has 3 exons. The record is from RefSeq and is a predicted model, not a curated record. Lineage: Eukaryota; Metazoa; Chordata; Aves; Passeriformes; Corvidae.
GCGGAGCGGAGCGGCCGCGCCCGCCCAGGGCCGAGUGAGGGAAGUGGCCGGGCCGGGCCGGGCAGGGCAGGGCCGGGCCGCGGGACUGAGCAUCGCCGCGCUGGGCCGUGCGGGGAGGCGGCGGCCCUCGGUAAAGGCUGACUGGAAGCGCACUUGGGGGGGUAGCGGCUGCAGACCUGGGCGUCUCGCUGUGGCUGUGCGGAACUUCCGCGCUCCAGGAAUGCGGGCUGCGGCCGCCGGAGGCUCCGGGCGCCGAGAACCGGGCAGCGUGGUGGGAUGGCUCGGGCUGCCGGGAGCGCGCUGGCCACGGAUACCCGUACCCUGAAAAGAAGGAAAUUCCUCUCCUAGGCUUAGUUAAGCUUGCGCUUGAAACCGCGACUCUAGGCUUUUACUGAAGAGAUGUGGAAUUCUUAAACAACGAUACCGUUUAGCUCUGUGAGCGGGUACUCUUUGCCUGUGCCUCUUCAUCUGUGCGCGAAUAAGGAUUUUGAGCUAGACCACUACAGCUGCUCUAUCCUUGGCCAUCUUUGCCAGCACAAGCUAAAAGUUAAAUCAUCAGAAUUUCUGCAUAUGGCAAACUACAGAUGACUUUGGGAUAUCACCACUUAAAAGAUUUGCCCACGAUCAUGGAGCACAGUUGGGUGUGAAAUCUCGGACCUCAGUCUCUCCGUGCUGGUACAAGUCUGACCUUCCCUCCCAUGUAAGAAAGGCUGUGUGCUCAGACAGCUUGUUUAAUGGGAUACAAAGGACUGCUUUUCUGUUGUUUCUGUAUGUUCCCAGCACUGUAGUAGAAAAAUUAUUUGUCAUGGCAUGUCUUACUCAGAAGUCCUGGGAUCUGCUAUAUAAACAUGAAACACUAGUUCUAAUUAUGCAAAGGAAUAAUUUGCUAGAGAAUUUAGGUAAAUUUGGCGUGACAAUU